This 468-nucleotide ribosomal RNA is filed under the name uncultured bacterium. RNAcentral's name for it is "partial 16S ribosomal RNA". It matches the Rfam family "Bacterial small subunit ribosomal RNA", at positions 28 to 507 of the family's 1533-position model. The record is from RNAcentral.
GACGAACGCUGGCGGCGUGCUUAACACAUGCAAGUCGAACGGAAAGGCCCUGCUUUUGUGGGGUGCUCGAGUGGCGAACGGGUGAGUAACACGUGAGUAACCUGCCCUUGACUUUGGGAUAACUUCAGGAAACUGGGGCUAAUACCGGAUAGGAGCUCCUGCUGCAUGGUGGGGGUUGGAAAGUUUCGGCGGUUGGGGAUGGACUCGCGGCUUAUCAGCUUGUUGGUGGGGUAGUGGCUUACCAAGGCUUUGACGGGUAGCCGGCCUGAGAGGGUGACCGGCCACAUUGGGACUGAGGUACGGCCCAGACUCCUACGGGAGGCAGCAGUGGGGAAUAUUGCACAAUGGGCGGAAGCCUGAUGCAGCAACGCCGCGUGCGGGAUGACGGCCUUCGGGUUGUAAACCGCUUUCGCCUGUGACGAAGCGUGAGCGACGGUAAUGGGUAAAGAAGCACCGGCUAACUACGUG